GACGAACGCUGGCGGCGUGCCUAAUACAUGCAAGUAGAACGCAGUUGCGAACGGGUGAGUAACGCGUAGGUAACUGCCUCAUAGCGGGGGAUAACUAUUGGAAACGAUAGCUAAUACCGCAUACUGUGAGAUGGACCUGCGUUGUAUUAGCUAGUUGGUGGGGGAAAGGCUCACCAAGGCGACGAUACAUAGCCGGCCUGGGAGGGUGAUCGACCAAACUGGGACUGGGGACCGGCCCCAACCCCUAAGGGGGGCCGCAGUAGGGAAACUUCGGAAAUGGACGGAAGUCUGGCCGCGCAAAGCCGCGUGAGUGGAAAAAGUUUUCGGGUCGUAAAGCUCUGUUGUUAGAGAAGCGGUACCUAAACAGGAAGGGACGGCUAACUACGUGCCAGCAGCCGCGGUAAUUC
RNAcentral lists this ribosomal RNA (407 nucleotides) under uncultured bacterium. RNAcentral describes it as "partial 16S ribosomal RNA". It matches the Rfam family "Bacterial small subunit ribosomal RNA", at positions 28 to 526 of the family's 1533-position model. The record is from RNAcentral.